Molecule: ribosomal RNA, 465 nt
Filed under: Vreelandella stevensii
Lineage: Bacteria; Pseudomonadati; Pseudomonadota; Gammaproteobacteria; Oceanospirillales; Halomonadaceae
Description: partial 16S ribosomal RNA
Rfam family: Bacterial small subunit ribosomal RNA
Source: RNAcentral
CCUACGGGCGGCAGCAGUGGGGAAUAUUGGACAAUGGGCGAAAGCCUGAUCCAGCCAUGCCGCGUGUGUGAAGAAGGCCUUCGGGUUGUAAAGCACUUUCAGUGGGGAAGAAAGCCUUGGGGCUAAUACCCUCGAGGAAGGACAUCACCCACAGAAGAAGCACCGGCUAACUCCGUGCCAGCAGCCGCGGUAAUACGGAGGGUGCGAGCGUUAAUCGGAAUUACUGGGCGUAAAGCGCGCGUAGGCGGUCUGAUAAGCCGGUUGUGAAAGCCCCGGGCUCAACCUGGGAACGGCAUCCGGAACUGUCAGGCUAGAGUGCAGGAGAGGAAGGUAGAAUUCCCGGUGUAGCGGUGAAAUGCUUAGAGAUCGGGAGGAAUACCAGUGGCGAAGGCGGCCUUCUGGACUGACACUGACGCUGAGGUGCGAAAGCGUGGGUAGCAAACAGGAUUAGAUACCCCAGUAGUC